RNAcentral lists this long non-coding RNA (533 nucleotides) under Elaeis guineensis (African oil palm). RNAcentral describes it as "long non-coding RNA (EGUI_LNC080107)". The record is from RNAcentral. Lineage: Eukaryota; Viridiplantae; Streptophyta; Magnoliopsida; Arecales; Arecaceae.
UCCUGUUUUCUGCUGCAAGCAUUCAAAAGUCGUUUGGCGUCCUUCGAUAUGCAGUGGUUAUGGUAAGGCUCCAAUGCUGACAAGUCACCUGUCUCUCAUCCUAAAUAAGGUCGACUCUGAUCAUAUCAUAUUGAAUAGAAUAAAGCAGUUCACAGCCAGCAUAGUUACCAGAAAGUGGGUUGGUUGCAGGAGCAGAUUUAGCUGCAGAUGCGGGUGCGCAAAAGCAGGUCUCUCAAACAAAAAUAAGAAUUGGAAGUGCUUAGGAAGCAGGUACAGAAGCAAAUUUUCUAAGGUUCCGAAGCGGGUGCAGCACCAUGGGUAGAAGCUUCCUGCUAGUAUGGAGUAAAGAACGACCCACAAGCUUCAAACAAUUGCAACCGUAUCAUUGAAAGACAAUCCUGUCUUUCAGCAAAAAGUAAUCAAAAUGUGCAUUUUUCAUUCUCUCUAAAUUCAUCUAAAUGAGUAUCAGAGAAAGGUUGUAUUAUGGUUUAUGGAUAAAAAAAGUUUGUUGGUGUUCAGAGGUACAAACCCUG